This 75-nucleotide transfer RNA is filed under the name Jiella endophytica. Its description in RNAcentral is "Jiella sp. CBS5Q-3 tRNA-Met". It matches the Rfam family "tRNA". Rfam says of the family: Transfer RNA (tRNA) molecules are approximately 80 nucleotides in length. Their secondary structure includes four short double-helical elements and three loops (D, anti-codon, and T loops). Further hydrogen bonds mediate the characteristic L-shaped molecular structure. tRNAs have two regions of fundamental functional importance: the anti-codon, which is responsible for specific mRNA codon recognition, and the 3' end, to which the tRNAs corresponding amino acid is attached (by aminoacyl-tRNA synthetases). tRNAs cope with the degeneracy of the genetic code in two manners: having more than one tRNA (with a specific anti-codon) for a particular amino acid; and 'wobble' base-pairing, i.e. permitting non-standard base-pairing at the 3rd anti-codon position. The record is from RNAcentral. Lineage: Bacteria; Pseudomonadati; Pseudomonadota; Alphaproteobacteria; Hyphomicrobiales; Aurantimonadaceae.
GGCGGGGUAGCUCAGAGGUAGAGCGCCGGACUCAUAAUCCGGUGGGCGCAGGUUCGAUUCCUGCCCCCGCAACCG